Molecule: ribosomal RNA, 603 nt
Filed under: uncultured fungus
Lineage: Eukaryota; Fungi
Description: eukaryotic LSU rRNA
Rfam family: 5.8S ribosomal RNA (bases 236-389)
Source: RNAcentral
CUUGGUCAUUUAGAGGAAGUAAAAGUCGUAACAAGGUCUCCGUUGGUGAACCAGCGGAGGGAUCAUUACAGAGUUGCAAAACUCCCUAAACCAUUGUGAACGUUACCUAAACCGUUGCUUCGGCGGGCGGCCCGGGUCCUUCCCGGCGCCCCUCGGCCCUCGCGGGCGCCCGCCGGAGGUAAACCAAACUAUUGCAUUGUAUGGCCUCUCUGAGUCUCUGUACUGAAUAAGUCAAAACUUUCAACAACGGAUCUCUUGGUUCUGGCAUCGAUGAAGAACGCAGCGAAAUGCGAUAAGUAAUGUGAAUUGCAGAAUUCAGUGAAUCAUCGAAUCUUUGAACGCACAUUGCGCCCGCCAGUAUUCUGGCGGGCAUGCCUGUUCGAGCGUCAUUUCAACCAUCAAGCCCCGGGCUUGUGUUGGGGACCUGCGGCUGCCGCAGGCCCUGAAAUGCAGUGGCGGGCUCGCUGUCACUCCGAGCGUAGUAGUUACAUCACGCUCUGGGCGUGCUGCGGGUUCCGGCCGUUAAAAGCCUUAUUUACCCAAGGUUGACCUCGGAUCAGGUAGGAAGACCCGCUGAACUUAAGCAUAUCAAUAAGCGGAGGA